GCAAGUCGAGGGGUAACAUUUUAGCUUGCUAAAGAUGACGACCGGCGCACGGGUGCGUAACGCGUAUAGAACCUACCACAAACAGGAGGAUACCAUUUGGAAACGAAGAUUAAUACUCCAUAGUGUUAUAGACUGGCAUCGGUUUAUGAUUAAAGAUUUAUUGGUUUGUGAUGGCUAUGGGUCCUAUUAGUUGGUUGGUAGGUAACGGCUUACCAAGACAUCGAUAGGUAGGGGUCCUGAGAGGGAGAUC
This 250-nucleotide ribosomal RNA is filed under the name uncultured bacterium. RNAcentral's name for it is "partial 16S ribosomal RNA". It matches the Rfam family "Bacterial small subunit ribosomal RNA", at positions 57 to 305 of the family's 1533-position model. The record is from RNAcentral.